GUUAUUAUAGUGUAAUAAACACAUUACAUUUUCAUUGUAAAGCUAAAGGUAAUCAAUCCUUUUAAAAACAC
RNAcentral lists this transfer RNA (71 nucleotides) under Penaeus notialis. Its description in RNAcentral is "transfer RNA-Glu". It matches the Rfam family "tRNA". From Rfam's summary of the family: Transfer RNA (tRNA) molecules are approximately 80 nucleotides in length. Their secondary structure includes four short double-helical elements and three loops (D, anti-codon, and T loops). Further hydrogen bonds mediate the characteristic L-shaped molecular structure. tRNAs have two regions of fundamental functional importance: the anti-codon, which is responsible for specific mRNA codon recognition, and the 3' end, to which the tRNAs corresponding amino acid is attached (by aminoacyl-tRNA synthetases). tRNAs cope with the degeneracy of the genetic code in two manners: having more than one tRNA (with a specific anti-codon) for a particular amino acid; and 'wobble' base-pairing, i.e. permitting non-standard base-pairing at the 3rd anti-codon position. Lineage: Eukaryota; Metazoa; Arthropoda; Malacostraca; Decapoda; Penaeidae. The record is from RNAcentral.